GUUACUUUUCUGGUUGCUUAAUUAUAGUAAAUUUUUGUUAUUAGCUUAUAUUUAAUCAAUGUUUUAAUGACACUAUGAAGCAGAUAUUUUAUUUAAGCUUUUCAGCAAAUUUUGAGAUAAGUUCUAUUUUCCACAUUUUGAAAUCUGUGAAGCUGAUCGGGGAGGGGCAGAGCACCCAAAUGUUUCUUCUUCUUUUUGUCUUUCAAAAGUACUAUUUAUCUUCAAUUAACAAGCAACACUUUCUAUAUCUAUCUAUCUAUCUAUCUAUCUAUCUAUCUAUCACCUAUCAAUCAACAGGGUUUUACUCUGUCAGCCAAGCUGGAGCGCAGUGGUACAAUCACGGCUCAUGCAGCCUCAGCCUCCCUAGGCUCAAGUGAUCCUCCCACCUCAGCUUCCUGAGUAACUGGUACUACAGAUACAUGCUACCAUACCUGGAUAAUUUUUUUGUUGUUUUUGUAGAGAUAGGGUUUUGCCAUGUUGCCCAGGCUGGUCUCAAACUCCUGCACUCAAGCAGUCCACCCACCUUGGCCUCAGAGAGUGCUGGGAUUAUAGGCAUGAGCCACAAUGCAUGGCCUUACAAGCAGUAUUUUAGGAGCAGAUAUUUAGUGUUGUGAGGAAAGACUAAGUUAUGCUGUAGAAACAACCUCAGAUAGCACUGGCCAUAAGCAACAGCUGAUUCCUUGCUCAUGCAGAGUCCUCUCUGGGUCUGAAUGAGGAUUUUGGACAGCCCUUUUCAUGGUACAGUGUGACACCUUUAUAUAAACAGGUACCUCCAUGAUCACCCAGGCAAGGGAAGAGAGUACUGAGAGACCCACACCAGUAAUAGAGCCAGUUCUCAUUAUUUGUAGUAGUUACAUUCCUUAAAGUAAGAGUGAACAUUGACUUAGCAAAUACUGAACUAUUGCUCCUAGGGGAAAUAUACAGUUAGGUUCCUGUAAGCCUCUGAUCAUAGUAUUUUCAGUAAUCAAUCAAUACAUAACCUUGUUUUAUGUGUGUUUCUGCAUAAAGAUAUUUUAUUUAAUAGGUAUUGUUGAUUCAUUAACAUUGAACUCGUGACCAAUGGCAUUAUAACUCAUGUCUGAAUGACAUACAGGUCUUCUCCAUUAGGCACAUCACAACCUUCUCGCACUUAGGAACACUAGACAGCACUUCAGCCCUAAGCCUAGGGACUGUUUUAAACAGCAAACGAAAAGCACAAAAAUGUGAUAACAGUGGCCCGCCAUAGAUUGUGAAAUGGACAUUGUCUACAGCACAAGAAACAAGAGCUUGCCUCAUCCAACUUCAGCUGGGAAUGUGUGCUCUGGGCAACCUGCAUUUUCCGCUGCUCUGGUCAUGCAUAUGUCUGUGAGUGACCAGAAAGUAUUGUGAGUAUUGACUGUGGAGUUACAAAGAUAUUUUAACAAGCAAGCAAAUUUGCAAAUUUGCAAAUUUGCAAAUAUGGAAUUUGUGAAUAAUGAGGAUCAACCGUAAAUGCUUCCUGCAGUAAGUUACAUGUUUUUCCAUCCACUCUCCUUGGCCAGAGCAAGUCACCAGGCCUUCAUUAACCUCAAGGGUAUUCAAAAAAAUGCUAUCAAUCUGUGCUUUUAAAGGAGAGCUCAAAAUAUUUGAGAAAAGUACUGCCGGUAAUAUCAUUGUGUCACACGUUGUUUAUUUAUUCCAUACUUGUGGCAGAUUUUUAUUUCCCAAGGAUGGUUGCAACAUUAUCUCCAUCCAAUGUGCUGUUCUUAUAACGUGACUUUGACAUACCUCUAAUUAUAAGAGGUGAAUGUCUCUUCUUCCUUUCCUUGAAACUUGGCAAGCUUAUGAUGACAGUAGAAGGCUAGAUCAUUAAAGUUGUCCACCUGGUUUUCUUUGAGACAAUUGUUCUUAGAAUCCAGCAGCCAUGCUGAAGGGAAGCCUAAGCAGCUCCAUAGAGAGAUAUGUGUAGGAUAUCCUAGCUGAGGAUGUGGCUGGCAGCUGGCAUCAACCACUGCUCAUGUUGAGUAAGCAAGUGUUUAGAUGAUUCCAGCCCACCAUUGACUCACCUCCAGGCAUCCUUGAGCCUUCACUGCUGAGGUCCCAGAGGUCAUAGAGGAGAUACAAGUUAUCCCUGAAGUACCCACAGAAACUGUGAGGAUAAGAAAAUGGUUAUUUUUUAAAAUAACAUUAUGCUUGUGGUAAUGUUUUUUAGAAAGAAUAACUUGAACAGUAUUUAUUCUAUACAGUAUUGUAGUAGGUGUUGGUGGGUGAUAUGGUUUGGCUCUGUGUCCCCACCCAAAUUUCAUCUUGAAUUGUAAUCCCCACAUGUUGGAGGAGGGACCUGGUGGGAGGUGACUGGAUCACGGGAGUGGACAUCCCCCUUGCCGUUCUUGCGAUAGUGAGUAAGUUCUCAUGAGAUCUGCUUGUUUGAAAGUGUGCGGCACUUCCUCCUUCAUGCUCUUUCUCCUGUUCUGCCAUGGUAAGACGUGCUUGCUUCCCCUUCACCUUUUGCUAUGAUUGUAAGUUUCCUGAGGCCUCCUAACCAUGCUUCCUGUAAAGGCUUCCUGUAAACCUCCCAAAGUGCUGGGUUUACAGGUGUGAGCCACUGUGCCCAGCCUUCUUUUCUUUUUUCUAAGUAAAUUAAACCUCUUUUCUUCAUAAAUUACCCAGUCCCAGGUAGUUCUUUACAGCACUGUUAGAAUGGACUAAUACAGUGGGUUUUGGCAACAAAUAGAAUUUGGUUUUGGCCUUUCUGGUGUCAUCCAUGAACUCAUAACCUGGUUAAACAUCUGGUCUUUUAUUCUUUUCUUUUUUCUUUUUUUUUUUUUUUGAGAUGGAGUUUCACUCUUGUUGUCCAGACUGGAGUGCAAUGAUGAAUCUCGGCUCACAGCAACCUCCACCUUCUGGGUUCAAGCGAUUCUCUUGUCUCAGUCUCCCGAGUAGCUGGGACUACAGGUAUGCACCACCACACUCAGCUAAUUUUUGUAUUUUUAGUAGAGACGAGAUGUUACCAGGUUGGCCAGGAUGGUCUAGAUCUCUUGACCAACCUCGUGAUCCGCCUGCCUUGGCCUCCCUGCCUCCCAAAGUGCUGGGUUUACAGGUGUGAGCCACUGUGCCCAGCCUUCUUUUCUUUUUUCUAAAGACAGUGCCUCACUAUGUUGUGCGAGCUGGAGGGCAGUGGCUAUUCACAGGCACCAUCACAGAGCAUUACAGCCUUGAACUGCUGUGCUCCAGGGAUCCUCCCAUCGUAGCCUCCUGAGUAGCUAGGGCUACAGCUGCAUGGCCCCACUCUCAGCAGUUAUCUGGCUAUCUGGUCCCUUUAUAGUUACCACUGUCUCAUGUUGGGGUCCGGCACGUCUGCCGGGGGACUACCGACCUGUGGGAGACUGCCAACGUGGAUGUCUCAUUCAACCUGAGGGAGAGAGUGUGCGGAAGUGAAAAAAAAGAGAAAAGCGGAGUCUGGAGGGCUGGCUUAGGCUAUGUCCAAGCAGCAAUUUUAUUUUGGCAAUACGUUUCAUUAUAUACUUUUCUGAAGCCAAAGUUGUUUACACCAGAUCAACGUACUUAAGUUACAGUAAGCAAGUUACGCCCACUAAGUUACGCCCAGUAAGUAAGUUAAGCCCAGUAAGUAGGUUACUUCCAGUAAGUAGGUUACGCCCAAUAGGUCAAGGUAAGUAAGUUACAGUCACGCCCUGUAAGCUAUGGUAAGUAAGUUACAGUUACACCCAGUAAGUUAUGGUAAGUAAGUUACCAAGUGUAAAUACUUAAGUUAAUAUUUUACAAUGAAGGUAACAAGGGUCCAAAAUGAACACAAUCAAGCAAUAAACCAUAAGAAGCUGAAAGUGGACACAUUGACUCCCAAGUCCUCAUAUUCAUAAAGUAAUGUCUGUUAACUAUUUAGAAUAACAUAGUCCCUCUCUCGGUUCCUGCUUUCCCUCAGCUCGACUCCCCCAACCGGGGAUCUGUGUCCAGGCUCAAGCUCACCGUAUGGUGAGGCCCAUUUCCCAGGGGCCUCACACGGGAGCCAUCUCCACAGAUUCCCUCAGUCUCAGAUGUGAUAACUGCAAAAUGGGUAGCAACUUGGUAUUCUUUUCUUUUGGCUGGCUUCUCCUUCAGUUUUGAUGAGAAUUAGUACACCCAUUAAUUAUUUAGACACAAAGCAACCCGUGAAGCACCUCCUACACUGAGCGCCUCGCUCUGUGCCUGAUCCAUAAUUGCAUGAUAAAUGUUGAAUGAAUGCCAGUCACAGAAUUUGGCAGAUGCAUAGGUAGGAACUGAGUGUUUUUAGUAGCAUCUGGGAACCACCUUUCUUAUCUGCCACAGAAAAUGAAGAGGCACUUACUGAAUUGUGGAGUUGAGGAUAAAAAACGUAGUCUAAAGCUGGAAAUGCUUUUAAAAAUUAAAAUAUCAAUUUUAAUCAGAGUGAAGCUUGAUAAAACUUCUGUCUGUGGUAGGUGUUUAUGAAAAAAGACAGGGUCAUCCAUAUUGAUUUUAAAAGGUUUAUGCUUUGAAGUAAAAAUAGAUGACCAAAUAUAUCAUACCUAGAUAGCUUACAUUCUCAAAUGCACUUAAAAGGAACUAAUCUUUGAUGCAGCUAAGAUAAAAUGUUUCUAAUAGAUUACUUGAUGAAAGGUCAUUUCCCAAAAUUGUGAGGCAGCUAAGAUGUUACCUUGAACUAUUACAUGUGGGGUUUUCACUGUUGCAGUAGAAUUAUUAUAUUCUUUAGAAUUAUUAUAUUCUUUCUCUCCUUUUCUUUUGUUUUAGUGGCAAUAUCUGCAGCCUCAAACUCCUGGGCUCAAGCAUGCUCCCAUCUCAGCCUUCAGAGUGGUUGAGACUAUAAGUGCCCACCACGAUGGCUGGCAAAUUUUUAAAAAAAUUUCUCAUAGAAAUGGGAUCUUCAACUCCUGGGCUCAAGUGAUCCUCCAGCCUCAGCUUCUCAAAGUGCUAGGAUUACAGGUGUGAGGCACCACGCCUGGCCUGCAUUAUUUCUCUAUUAAGAUAAAUUAAAGAAUUGGUAGUAAUUUGACUUGACUCCCUAAGGACUUUGAGAACAGAGUUGUUACAGAGGUUCAGUGUCCAACUUCCCAGAAGAGGCAUUCCUCUGCCUGCAUCUUUAACAGAUCUGUAAACCAGUCAGUUCUCAGCCUCAGUAUAAGUCCUGCAUAAAGGUCUCCCAGGUUGUUCUACAGUUGAGUGUCUGCAUGCACACAAUGAGACCCAGGUGUAGGAGAGAUAAGUAACAGAUUAAAACUUGCCUCCGAGGUCAUGCAUGUUGGCUCACACCUGUAAUCCCAGCACUUUAGAAGGCUAAGGCAGGAGGAUCACUUGAGCUCAGGAGUUUGAGAUCAGCCUGAGCAACAUAGUGAGACCCUGCCUCUACCCAAAAAAAAAAAAAAAAGUUUUUAAAAAAUUAGCUGGGCAUGGUGGCUGAGCCUGUAGUCCCAGUUACUAAUGGGGCUGAAGUGGGAAGAUCACUUAAGCCCUGGAGAUCAAGGGAGGCAGUGAUCAACCCUCUGCCCUCCAGCUUUGGUCAUAGAGUAAGAACCUGUUUAAAAAAAAAAAAAAAUCCACUAUCAUGGCGAAAAGAUUUAGUAGUAAUGCCUGGAACAUCUCAUCUUCUAGAUCAGUGCCUCUCAAGCUAUCUGCAAUGAAAGAUCCUUUAUAUAUUUUUUAAAUUUCCGGUUCAUCUUAAACCAACAUGCAUGUCUACUGCAUAGGACCAUGUGCAGCUCAUGCUAUAAGCUACCAAACCCCCAAGUACUGCUGUAAUUUAAUUGGUCUAUGGAAAUAUCAGUGUAUUAAGUCCACUGAUCACAUGCAUGGAUUUUGUAAAAAAUAAGUUGCUAUAAAUGUCUCUGAACAUGAAACCAACCCAAUUGUGCCAUAGAACUGAUGUUCAUGGUUUCUUCUGAAUAAACAUAGAAAUUGGCCCAGUCUUAAAACUUUAGAAAGUGAUCUUUGUCUUAUCUGAGUUCAUUAUCACUUCAAACGUUUUUUCUCCUCCUUUCUCCUUCAGGUAUUCUCAUUAUGCAUAUGUAACACUAUUUGUAAUUGUUCCACAGUUCUCGGAUAUUGUUCCUCUUUUUGGUUUUCUUUUUUCUUCGCUUUUCCUUUUUGGAAUUUUCUAUUGACAAAGCCUCAUGCUCAGAGAUUCUUUCUUCAGCUGUGUCUAGUCUCCUAUCAAAGACAUUCAUUUGUGUUAUAGUGGUUUUGAUUCUCCAGCAUUUUGUGAUUUUUUUUCUUGAAAUGUCCAUCUCUCUGCUUAUGUUACUCAUCUGUUCCAGCAUGUUGUCUACUUUUUCCCCUAGAGUCCUUAGCAUAUUAAUCCUGGUUGUUUCACAUUUUGGUCUGAGAAUUUCAACAUUCUGCCCUAUCCGAGUCAGCUUCUGAUAACUUGCUUUGCCUCUUCAAACUAUGGUUUUGUUUUUGCUUUUGCCAUUUACGAUGCCUUGUGAUUUCUUGUUGAAAGGUGGACCUGAUGUAAAAGGAACUCUGGUAAUCAGGCUUUUAGUAACGUGGAGGUAAAGCGUGGGGAAGGGCGCAUUCUGUAGCUCUUUCAUUAGGUCUGUUGUUUUAGCGAGCCUCUGCUCCUGCGAGGUGAGCUUCACAUGUGCUUCUCAUUAUUUCCCUCCCUCUUUAGGUGGGACAGGAUGGCUAGAGGGGCUAGAGCCAGUAGUUCCCUUCUCCAUGUGGAAGGCUAGUGGAGGCUGAAGCUGGGAAUUUCCCUUCUGCCAGGUCAGUUAGGCUCUGGUAAAAUAAAUGCUUCUGAAGGCAGGACUUGUUAUGAAGAGAACACUCCGCUGUAUUUCAAAAUGGUUGCUUCCCCACCCCCACCCCCGUCUCUGCCAGAAGCCCAAGGGGAUUUUCUCUGAUUUUCACUGUGAGAACCUGAUAGGCGUCCUGAAGGUAAUAUUUACAAAAGUGUGGGGGCCCUCCAUGAAUGGAACCCCUAUAGUUUUUGACUCUCAGAGCUUCCAGCAACUCAUCAAUUACAGUUCAGGUUUUCCGACCCCGGCUGGUUCCUGGAGGUUUCUGCUCAGGUAAGUUGUGAUUCUCUGUGUCCACCUGUCUGUCUCCCCAACUUUGGGGGCAGUGAUUUCUCCUGUGACCUCAGUUCUCUGAUGGAUUUAAGAUGAGUUGAUUUUUCUGUUGGUUUGGCUUUUUAUUAUUGUUAGGAUGACUUCCAAGUUCCUUACAAGCCAGGGCCGAAAGCAGACUUCCUUUCUAGAAAACGAUAAAGAUAUUUUCUGGUCCAUUAUUGAAUUUAGUGAAAUGACCAUAUUCUAGUUAUUAAUUCUGUGAUUCUCUCUUAUUCAUAACUUUUUCUUGCUAAAAUUAUUUCUUCCUUAUAACAACUUUUUAGUUGUUAACAAUUUAAUGCCUCUAUUUGCGAAUUUUCUUUAACUCCACGUUUUCUCGCAGCGCUAACAGCCAGAUUACUCGUGUUUGCCAAUUGCGUCAACAUGUAAAAAAGAUGCGCUGUUUACUCUGUUGGUCUUACUGUUGUGCCUGCGAAUCCCGCUGUGUGAAUUGAAUUGGCUGCAGCUGCACGUUAGGUUGAUGGCAUCGGAAACAGUUUACAGAGAAUGUCGGCUACAAGUGAAGGCCCAAAACUAUUUUCAGAUCUCAUUUUCCCUAAACCCGUUACCCUAACUCUGUCCACAUUGAAACUCACCUGUAUUUUAUGGCUCACUCAUAUUACUUAGAGCAAUGCUUUCAAUCUUGGCUUCAGAUUAGAAUCACUGGCUCUAUUUCUUGUUUGUUUGUUUGUUUUUUCUUUUUAAUUAAACUUUUUGGGGGGAGGGAAGGGUUCUCGCUAGGUUGCCCAGGCUCGUCUCAAACUCCUGGGCUCAAUUGAUCCUCGUGCCUCGGCCUCCUGAAGUGCUGGGAUUAUAGGCAUAAGCCACCACACCUGGCCACUGCUGGUUCUAUUUCUAUGUAAUUGGUCUGUGUGUGUCCUGGUAUCAGAUUUCUGAAAGGUCCUCCAAGUGAUUUUACUGUGCAAUUAAGGUUAAAAUCCGAGAGCCAGCAAACUUAAAAAAAUUUUUUUUUGUAAAAAUGAUUGGGGGCUUUGCUAUCUUGCCCAGGCUGGUCUUAAACUCCUGGCCUCAAGCAAUCCUCCCUCUGCAGCCUUACCAAGUGGUUACAGGCAUGAGCCACUGUGUCUAGUCACCAGCAAACUUUUUCUCUGAAGAUCAGACAGUAAAUGCUUUAGGCUUUGAGGGUCAAAUAGUCUCUAUUGGAGUUACUCAACUCUAACCUCAUAGCAUGAAAGCAGCCACAGGCACGUGAGCACCACACUGUUUAAUAAAACUUUAUUUCUAGACGGUGAAAUUUUGAUUUACAUAAUUUUCAUGUGUCAGAAAUAUUCCUUUUCAUUGUUUUGCAGCUAUUUACAAAUGCAAAUGUUGUCUCACAGGAUACACAGAAACAGGUUUCGAGUGGGCUUUGCUAUAGUCUGGCAGCCCUUGGUUUAUGGCUUGUUUGCUUCACUGCUUCAGUUCGGUUCUAUAAGAUGAAGUCUCGCACUGUCUGUUGCCUAGGCUGUAGUGCAGCGGCGUGAUCUCGGCAACACUGUAAUCUCUGCCUCCUGGGUUCAAGCAAUUCUCCUGCCUCAGCCCCCUGAGUAGCUGCGACUACAGGCAUGUGCCACCACGCCCAGCUAAUUUUUUUGUAUUAGUAGAGAUGGGGUUUCACCAUGUUGGCCAGGAUGGUCUCCAUCUCCUGACCUUGUGAUCCACCCACCUCAGCCUCCCAAAGUGCUGGGAUUACAGGUGGGAGCCACUGUGCCCUGCCCUAAUGUUUUUUCUUUACCAUGUAAUCCAAAAUAUUGACCUUUCCUUUGUAAUGUCAAUCUGAUUUCUGCUGUCAUUGUUGACUGGUGAAGCCUACAGAUGCAGUCACAGUGCUGUAGCACUGCUUAUUUUAUGGUUGUGUUAUAAAGUAAGAGAGUAAGAGUGAUAUCUAAUGAGGUAAUGUGUUCCAGCAGCAGUGCUCUCUUUCGCCACAGCACUGUCAGAUGACCCAUAAUAUCCUAGCAUGAGACAUUCCCAUGUCACUAAGCCACAUCCCUCACCCAUUCAAGGAAGCAAAUCAGAAGACAAAUAAGCAAGCGUUUUUUGAUAACCCAAAUAAGCGAAUCAGAAGACAAGGCAAAUAAGCAAUAACAAGGAGAUCACUUUGGACAGCUUUGUUAUUAUUUUUAUUUUGUAACUAAAAUGUUUGCAAAUCUCUAUACUUUCAUUGCUAAUAUUGUAAUAUACGUCACUGUUAUUUAUAACAUACAACUAUCCCCUGCAGCUUUAGAGAUGUCUUUUACUCCUUCUAGAACUCUCUGUGUCUCUUGGAGCAUUCCAUACAGAAGUGAAACAAACCACGAAACCCUGAAAAACUGGUGUGGGAAGGAAAGUUCUGUUUGGUGGCAAAAGUAGUUACCUUUGGCUGGUCCAGAAUUUUUUUUUUUUUUCAUGCCCUUCAGAACCCAUUUCUAUGCUCAUUAGGAAUUCAGUUUUUGUUUUUUGUCAAUUCACAUAGAACUUUUCCUUUUUUCUCAGGAGUGUUACACAUUUUAGGAGAGUGCAGUCAUCUUUAGAAGAACCUGGGGAACUUUUCCCUAAGGAAUGUGAAAAUAGGUUAACUAGAUUGGCAUUUUGAAGUGCCCCAUUGGCAGAGGUUGGCCAAUGAAUAGCAGCUUCUUGGGUCUAGGGUCCUUCUUCCUCUUCUCAUGGGCGCUCUAUUAAAGGUGGAGAGCUAUGUGCUACAUGAUCUCCAAGAGCAGUUUACUUUUGCACUUCCAGUCCGGGUGAGCCCUCUUCAUACCGAAGGGCUGCAUCCCUGGGCCUCUUCCCCAGGAGGAUUUCUGGUGGCCUCUUCGUAGGAGGGUGGUAAACACUGGGAGGGGAGGGCAGCCUCGGGGGGCAGUGGGGCAUAGCGGAAGUCCUCACUGCUGCAGGCCAGGCCCGGUAGCAGGUCCGUGACCUCUCCUGCAGCUGGGUGCUCUGGUAGGUCAACGCUGAACACCUGCCCCUGGGGUUGCGGGGACUUGCAUCGGCGGUACAGGAACAACAGCAGAAAGGCCAGGAAGAGCAGGACAGUG
Molecule: non-coding RNA, 10054 nt
Organism: Callithrix jacchus (white-tufted-ear marmoset)
Lineage: Eukaryota; Metazoa; Chordata; Mammalia; Primates; Cebidae
Source: RefSeq, a predicted model, not a curated record